GUGGUAGGGGAGCGUUCUUAUUGCAUAGAAGUCGUACCGAAAGGAGCGGUGGAGCGAUAAGAAGUGAGAAUGCCGGUAUGAGUAGCGAAAAGACAAGUGAGAAUCUUGUCCGCCGAAAACCUAAGGUUUCCUGAGGAAGGCUCGUCCGCUCAGGGUUAGUCGGGACCUAAGCUGAGGCCGAAAGGCGUAGGCGAUGGACAACAGGUUGAAAUUCCUGUACUACCUUUCCUCCGUUUGAACGAUGGGGGGACGCAGAAGGAUAGGGGAAGCGUGCUAUUGGAAAUGCACGUCCAAGCGGUGAGGCUGAGUCUAUAGGCAAAUCCGUAGACUCAAGGCUAGGCCGUGAUGGCGAGGGAAAAAUAAAGUACCGAAGUCCCUGAUUUCAUACUGCCAAGAAAAGCCUCUAGUGAGGAGGAAGGUACCCGUACCGUAAACCGACACAGGUGGGUGAGGAGAGAAUCCUAAGGCGCUCGGGAGAACUCUCGUUAAGGAACUCGGCAAAAUGACCCCGUAACUUCGGGAGAAGGGGUGCCUCGAUAGGGUGAAAGCCCGAGGAGGCCGCAGUGAAUAGGCCCAAGCGACUGUUUAGCAAAAACACAGGUCUCUGCAAAGCCGCAAGGCGAAGUAUAGGGGCUGACGCCUGCCCGGUGCUGGAAGGUUAAGGGGAGAGGUUAGUGACAUUAAGUGACGAAGCUUUGAACCGAAGCCCCAGUAAACGGCGGCCGUAACUAUAACGGUCCUAAGGUAGCGAAAUUCCUUGUCAGGUAAGUUCUGACCCGCACGAAUGGCGUAACGAUUUGGGCACUGUCUCAACGAGAGACCCGGUGAAAUUGUAAUACCUGUGAAGAUGCAGGUUACCCGCGACAAGACGGAAAGACCCCAUGGAGCUUUACUGUAGCCUGAUAUUGGAUUUUGGUACGAUUUGUACAGGAUAGGUGGGAGCCAUAGAAGCCGGACCGCCAGGUUCGGUGGAGGCAACGGUGGGAUACCACCCUGAUCGUAUUGAAAUUCUAACCUACAUCCCUAAACGGGAUGAGGGACCGUGUCAGGUGGGCAGUUUGACUGGGGCGGUCGCCUCCUAAAGAGUAACGGAGGCGCCCAAAGGUUCCCUCAGAAUGGUUGGAAAUCAUUCGCAGAGUGUAAAGGCAGAAGGGAGCUUGACUGCGAGACAUACAAGUCGAGCAGGGACGAAAGUCGGGCUUAGUGAUCCGGUGGUUCCGCAUGGAAGGGCCAUCGCUCAACGGAUAAAAGCUACCCUGGGGAUAACAGGCUUAUCUCCCCCAAGAGUCCACAUCGACGGGGAGGUUUGGCACCUCGAUGUCGGCUCAUCGCAUCCUGGGGCUGAAGUAGGUCCCAAGGGUUGGGCUGUUCGCCCAUUAAAGCGGUACGCGAGCUGGGUUCAGAACGUCGUGAGACAGUUCGGUCCCUAUCUGUCGCGGGCGUAGGAAAUUUGAGAGGAGCUGUCCUUAGUACGAGAGGACCGGGAUGGACACACCGCUGGUGUACCAGUUGUGCCGCCAGGCGCAUCGCUGGGUAGCUAAGUGUGGAAGGGAUAAGCGCUGAAAGCAUCUAAGCGUGAAGCCCCCCUCAAGAUGAGAUUUCCCAUGGAGUUAGUCCAGUAAGACCCCUUAAAGAUGAUAAGGUUGAUAGGUCCGGUGUGGAAGUACCGUAAGGUAUGGAGCUGACGGAUACUAAUCGGUCGAGGGCUUAACC
Molecule: ribosomal RNA, 1713 nt
Filed under: Tepidibacillus sp. HK-1
Lineage: Bacteria; Bacillati; Bacillota; Bacilli; Caryophanales; Bacillaceae
Description: partial 23S ribosomal RNA
Rfam family: Bacterial large subunit ribosomal RNA
Source: RNAcentral